Molecule: ribosomal RNA, 1243 nt
Filed under: metagenome
Description: bacterial LSU rRNA
Rfam family: Bacterial large subunit ribosomal RNA
Source: RNAcentral
UGAAUACGAGAUGCUACGGCGUCGAAGCAGUCUAUGUCAUACUUCCAAGAAAAGCUUGCACUGUCAUAAACAAAUAAUGCCUGUACCAUAACCGACACAGGUGGGUAGGUAGAGUAUACUAAGGGGCGCGAGAUAACUCUCUCUAAGGAACUCGGCAAAAUGACUCCGUAACUUCGGGAGAAGGAGUGCCUUAUUUAUAAGGUUGCAAUAACAAGAUCCAAGCAACUGUUUACCAAAAACACAGGUCUCCGCUAAGUCGUAAGACGAUGUAUGGGGGCUGACGCCUGCCCAGUGCCAGAAGGUUAAAGAAGUUGGUUAGCAUCCGCGAAGCUGAUAACUGAAGCCCUGGUGAACGGUGGCCGUAACGAUAACGGUCCUAAGGUAGCGAAAUUCCUUGUCGGGUAAGUUCCGACCCGCACGAAAGGCGUAAUGAUUUGGAUACUGUCUCGGAGAGGGGCUCGGUGAAAUAGACUUGUCUGUGAAGAUGCGGACUACCUGCACCAGGACAGAAAGACCCUAUGAAGCUUUACUGUAACCUGAAAUUGAAAUUGGACUUUACUUGCGCAGUAUAGGUGGGAGGCGUUGAGAAUAUUCUUGCGGGAUUAUUGGAGCCAUCAGUGAGAUACCACUCUUGUAAUGUUAGAUUUCUAACUUUGUAUCAUUAUCUGGUCAAAGAACAGUUUCAGGCGGGCAGUUUGACUGGGGCGGUCGCCUCCUAAACGGUAACGGAGGCGCACAAAGGUUUCCUCUGAACGGGUAGAAAUCGUAUCUAGAGUGUAAAGGCAUAAGGAAGCUUGACUGUGAGACCUACAAGUCGAGCAGGGACGAAAGUCGGUCUUAGUGAUCUGACGGUGCUGAGUGGAAAGGCCGUCACUCAACGGAUAAAAGUUACUCUAGGAUAACAGGCUGAUCUCCCCCAAGAGUUCACAUCGACGGGGAGGUUUGGCACCUCGAUGUCGGCUCAUCGCAUCCUGGGGCGGUAGUACGUCCCAAGGGUUGGGCUGUUCGCCCAUGAAAGCGGUACGCGAGCUGGGUUCAGAACGUCGUGAGACAGUUCGGUCCAUAUCCGGUGUAGGCGUUAGAAUAUUGAGAGGAGCCUUCUUUAGUACGAGAGGACCGAGAAGGACAUACCUCUGGUGUACCAGUUAUCGUGCCAACGGUAAACGCUGGGUAGCUAUGUGUGGAGUGGAUAACCGCUGAAAGCAUCUAAGUGGGAAGCCCACCUCAAGAUAAGUAUUCUCAC